GAUCAAAGUGUAGUAUCUGUUCUUAUCAGCUUAAUAUCUGAUACGACUCCCAACGGGGGUCAAGAUAUUAAACUUAUUUUUGUCAUGGCGUGGAAUGUCUGAGGCUUGCCUCAAUUCCACAACGGGUUGAC
This 131-nucleotide small nuclear RNA is filed under the name Pellobunus insularis. RNAcentral's name for it is "partial U2 snRNA". It matches the Rfam family "U2 spliceosomal RNA", at positions 25 to 155 of the family's 192-position model. Rfam says of the family: U2 is a small nuclear RNA (snRNA) component of the spliceosome (involved in pre-mRNA splicing). Complementary binding between U2 snRNA (in an area lying towards the 5' end but 3' to hairpin I) and the branchpoint sequence (BPS) of the intron results the bulging out of an unpaired adenosine, on the BPS, which initiates a nucleophilic attack at the intronic 5' splice site, thus starting the first of two transesterification reactions that mediate splicing. Lineage: Eukaryota; Metazoa; Arthropoda; Arachnida; Opiliones; Samoidae. The record is from RNAcentral.